CCAAAAAGGGCCCAAAUAAGCAUUUUCUUGGUUUUCGCACUAUAACUUUAGUUUAAGUAAAUAGAAAUCUAUGAAAUUUUGACAUAAGGUUUAUGACAACAAAAGAAAGGUUGGGAUUGAUUUUGGGAGUUUUGGUUCCAACAGUUUAGGAAUUAGGGGCCAAAAAAAAGGGCCCAAAUAAGCAUUAUUCUUGGUUUUCGCACAAUAACUUUAGUUUAAGUAAAUAGAAAUCAAUGAAAUUUAAACACAAUGUUUAUGACCACAAAAG
RNAcentral lists this long non-coding RNA (268 nucleotides) under Mytilus galloprovincialis (Mediterranean mussel). The record is from RNAcentral. Lineage: Eukaryota; Metazoa; Mollusca; Bivalvia; Mytilida; Mytilidae.